ACGAGUGGCGGACGGGUGAGUAACGCGUAGGAAUCUACCCAGAAGCGGGGGACAACGUGGGGAAACCCACGCUAAUACCGCAUAAGCCCCACGGGGUAAAGCAGGGGAUCUUCGGACCUUGCGCUUUUGGAUGAGCCUGCGUUGGAUUAGCUAGUUGGAGAGGUAACGGCUCCCCAAGGCGACGAUCCAUAGCUGUUCUGAGAGGAAGAUCAGCCACACUGGGACUGAGACACGGCCCAG
RNAcentral lists this ribosomal RNA (240 nucleotides) under uncultured bacterium. RNAcentral's name for it is "partial 16S ribosomal RNA". It matches the Rfam family "Bacterial small subunit ribosomal RNA", at positions 91 to 334 of the family's 1533-position model. The record is from RNAcentral.